CCUUGACCUCACAGAGGUCCUCCUGCCUCUGCCUCCCAAGUGCUGAGAUUAAAGGUGUGUGCCACCACCGCCCAGUCAGAGUGUUUCUUGUGAUGGCUCCUUGGUGCUCUUACUACGUAAACUAUUUUUGUACUUACUUGAAACUGGGUUGAGUCCUGGCUUGGACUGUGUGAGUGCUGCUGAAGGAGUGGUGAUCCUCUGGUCUCUUAGUCUGGAAAUUGCAUAGGAACAAAUGCACAGAAUGCUCCCCCUCAUUCAUGUGUAUUUGACAGAUUUCACAUGUAAUUAAUACUUUGCAAAUUGUAGAUGAGAGUGACCUCCAUAAAACUUCAUUACUUAGAACUUUACUAAUUUUAAUAACUGAACAGUGUGUACUGGCACCCACCUUUAAUCCUAGCACUCGGGAGGCUGAGCCAGGUAGGUGGAUCUCUGAGAGUUCAAGGCUAGCCCGGUCUACAUAGUUUCGGGACAGACAGAACUACAUAGUUAGACCCAGUAAGCUAUACAACAUAAUACUGAUCUUGCUUCCUCUUGAGUUAUGCUUAAUUGGAAAACAGAAUUGAUUCUUGAAGCACAUGUGUGCAGAGGCUGGAGAUAGCUCAGGGAUACGAGCACCCCCUGCUCUGGCAGCCACAUGGCAACUUACAACCAUCUGUAACUACAGAUCCAGGGAAGCCGAUGCCACCUUCUUGCCUAUUUACGUGGUACACAACAUGGAGGCAAAACUCAUAUAGAAGAAGAAUGUAUGCUGCUACUGACAAGCAGGGUUAUCAGAUUUGAACAAUGAUUCUACGUAUGAGUCUGAGUGGAAAUGAAGCUCUUUCAAAACUUAGUAACUUCAAUCAAUAUUGCUUCCACCUUCAGACAUACUAUUGGAUGGACUUAGUGACUUGCUAAUCAAUGGAAUGUGGCAGAAGUGAUGCUUGGUGUUUCUGAGAAUGAACCAGAAAAGUCCUUUUUUGGUUUCUCUCUGCUCUGCUUAUGCUUGCCUCCUGGAGUCUGAAUCGCUGGGCAGCACAUCGGAGAAUGGAGAAGGUCAUACUCCAGGGAAGCCCUGGAUAACUACACGGAGAGGAGCAUGUGAACAUCUGCCCCCAUGCAGGGGACGGGCU
This 1112-nucleotide long non-coding RNA is filed under the name Cricetulus griseus (Chinese hamster). Its description in RNAcentral is "lncRNA (ENSCGRG00015040318.1)". Lineage: Eukaryota; Metazoa; Chordata; Mammalia; Rodentia; Cricetidae. The record is from RNAcentral.